GUCCAGUGAAGGUUAGUGCGCCGCUGCACCGGGCAUCAAUACGAUCCAUUUCACUUUUCUUUAAAAUUGAAUUCAUACAAGUUAUCGGCUCGGUUAACGCGCCGCCCAUGGAGGUGGCGGAAAGGCAGCGCCUGCAGCGCCAGUGCGAAGCUCCGGUGGACACGAGGGGCGGAAUCAGGACGGCUGGAGGGAAAGAACGAGGGAAGAGGGGAUGGAGACUUGACUGAGAGGGGAAAGGCGAGAUAAGACUCUUCUCCUCACUCGUGGAGGAGGAAACGGGGACGCACACGAGGUCACCAAUUGUGUCUUGAGUGUCGGAGUGAAUCACCUUUACACGAGUUGCUCACACCGAUCGUCAGUUGCCAGCGACGUGAUCAUAUUGUAAAUCAAUAAAAUAAGGCCUUAAUUAGGUCACCCUCC
Molecule: long non-coding RNA, 420 nt
Organism: Eriocheir sinensis (Chinese mitten crab)
Lineage: Eukaryota; Metazoa; Arthropoda; Malacostraca; Decapoda; Varunidae
Exons: 4
Source: RefSeq, a predicted model, not a curated record